Molecule: long non-coding RNA, 1728 nt
Organism: Dama dama (fallow deer)
Lineage: Eukaryota; Metazoa; Chordata; Mammalia; Artiodactyla; Cervidae
Exons: 3
Source: RefSeq, a predicted model, not a curated record
UGGCCCCGCCCCGAGACGCCCCGCCCCCUAGGCCCGCGGGGGGCGGGCGGGGGGACCCGACCCAGUGAACCCCUCGCCCCUUCUCGCAAGCGCGCGUCUCCCCGGGCUGCGUAACCUCAGUGGCACCCGGCGCGCGUCCACACAGGAAGACCAAAGCGGCGUCGGUCCGACAGGGUGAAGAUGAAGCCUCGCAGGGCCCGGGCCGUCAGCGGGUCAGUUCUCUGACUUGGAGCAAAGUCUGGAUCUCAGGAUUCGAAGAGCACUGACAACUGGAGCUGGAGAGUGCUGAGGAUUCAACAUUGAGCAGAGCAGACAGAAAUCCCUGAUGGAGGGAAAUUCCCUGAUGGAGGGGAAGGCCAGGCCCAGAAGGGUUACCUGCAUACUGGAGCUGGUGAGGAGCGUGGCCAGUUGUCUGUAGACUGAAUGAAAGAAGUGGUGCCCAACUGAAGGAGAUAAAAUUGAGAGCUGAGUAAAACUCCUGAGGAGAGGAAGGAAGGUCUAGAAGGACCUUCUCCCGCAUUUCUCACCUGUGCUUGUUGAUUUUGAGACACCCCACAAAGCUAAGUACAGCAGGUUACCACCAUACAUGCACUCGACCCCUCCCGGAGUGUGCUGGCCACAGUGGGGGCCUGUGGAAUUCACUGGAAUUAUGUCAUUGUCAUUAUUUUUUCACUUACCUGAUUCACCUGGUCGAGUCCUUAUCUUUCUUUCUUUCUUGGCCAUGUGGCUUGUGGGAUCUUAGUUCCCUGACCUGGGAUUGAAACCAGGCCCUCUUCAGUCCUAGCAUUUUCAACUUCCAAGUGGGGACACAUUUUUUUUUUCCCUCCCUGCAGAACACCUUCUAGUAUUUCAUUUGGUGUGGGCUUCCUGUUGAUGGAUUCUUCCAGUUUUUGUUUUUCUGAAAACUUCUUUAUGUUUUGUAUUUUUCAGGGACAUUUUUCACGGGGUGUAGAAGUAUAAGUUGGCUUUUAUCUCUGCUAGCAUUCUGAGGAUGUUAUUCCACUGUCUUCUGGUUUCCGUGUUUUCUGUCAUUCUUAAUAUUGCUCCUUUGAAGAUGGCAUGUCUUCCUAGGUGCUUUAAGCUUUCUUCUUUAUUCUCAGUCAUCAGGUUUACUGUACUGUGCCUGCAUGUGUUUUUCCCUGUGUUUACCCUUCUUGAUGCUCAUUGUGCUUCUAGAAUCUGUAGCUUGAUAUCUUUCAUCAGUUUGGGGACAGUCUCAGCUCUUAUUUCCUCACGCAUCUUGGAUGCUUCACUCUCUUUCUGCUCUUCAUCUACAACUCAGUUAAAAAUAUUCUUGACCUUUCCACUGAACCCCAGUAUCUGUUUUGCUUUUUAUUAGAUUGUAUACCUUUUCACUCUGUUUCAGUCUGCAUAGUUUCUUUUGACCUGCCUUCUGGUUCACUAACUCUCUCUUUAUCUGUAGGUCUGCUGUCACAACUAUCCACUGAGCCGUUAAGUUUAGUUAUUCUAUAUGUCUCCUUAGAAUUUUCACUUGUUUGUUUUUGUUUCCAGGCCUCCCCGCACCCCAGAUCUGUUCAUAUUGUCUUUCACUCCUUGAGUACCUUUACUGUAUUUCUUCUAAAGUCCUUGUCAAAUGGCUCCACUAUCUUCAUCUCUGUUGGGUCACUUUCUGUCGCCUGUUCCUUUGAAUGCGUCUUAUUUCCUGAUAUACCUCAUUGAGUGUUGCACAUUUAAUAUUUAAGAACUUAUAAAGACAGAUUUCCCUAG